RNAcentral lists this ribosomal RNA (310 nucleotides) under uncultured Neptunomonas sp. RNAcentral's name for it is "bacterial SSU rRNA". It matches the Rfam family "Bacterial small subunit ribosomal RNA", at positions 129 to 440 of the family's 1533-position model. Lineage: Bacteria; Pseudomonadati; Pseudomonadota; Gammaproteobacteria; Oceanospirillales; Oceanospirillaceae. The record is from RNAcentral.
CCUAGUAGAAGGGGAUAGCCCGGGGAAACCCGGAUUAAUACCGUAUACCUCCUUCGGGAGAAAGAAGGCCUCUCUUUGAAGCUUUCGCUACUAGAUGAGCCUGCGUAAGAUUAGCUUGUUGGUGAGGUAAAGGCUCACCAAGGCGACGAUCUUUAGCUGGUCUGAGAGGACGAUCAGCCACAUUGGGACUGAGACACGGCCCAGACUCCUACGGGAGGCAGCAGUGGGGAAUAUUGGACAAUGGGCGCAAGCCUGAUCCAGCCAUACCGCGUGUGUGAAGAAGGCCUUCGGGUUGUAAAGCACUUUAAGC